AUUGAACGCUGGCGGCAGGCCUAACACAUGCAAGUCGAACGAGUGGCGGACGGGUGAGUAAUGUCUGGGAAACUGCCCGAUGGAGGGGGAUAACUACUGGAAACGGUAGCUAAUACCGCAUACCAUCGGAUGUGCCCAGAUGGGAUUAGCUAGUAGGUGGGGUAACGGCUGACAUAGGCGACGAUCCCUAGCUGGUCUGAGAGGAUGACCAGCCACACUGGAACGUAGCAACGGUCCACGCUCCAAGGGGAGGCAGCAGUGGGGAUUAGGGCAACAUGGGCGCAAGCCUGAUGAAGCCAUGCCGCGUGUAGGACGAAGGCCGUCGGGUUGUAAAGUACUGUCAGCGAGGAGGCGUUACUCGCAGAGGAAGCACCGCGUAAGUCCGGGCCAGCAGCCGCGGUAAUUC
This 406-nucleotide ribosomal RNA is filed under the name uncultured bacterium. RNAcentral's name for it is "partial 16S ribosomal RNA". It matches the Rfam family "Bacterial small subunit ribosomal RNA", at positions 29 to 526 of the family's 1533-position model. The record is from RNAcentral.